Molecule: long non-coding RNA, 857 nt
Organism: Brassica oleracea var. oleracea
Lineage: Eukaryota; Viridiplantae; Streptophyta; Magnoliopsida; Brassicales; Brassicaceae
Exons: 3
Source: RefSeq, a predicted model, not a curated record
AUAUGAAGGGUCUUUAAAAAAUACGUGUUUGCGGAAGGGGAAGAAGAUUCUGGAGGAGAAAUUGAUAAGUUUGAAGUCAAGCUUUCUAGAAGAAAGAAUUGGAUCACAGAAAUUGAUGUUUCUCAUUCAGAUGGCUUUGUCUGGGUGUCAAUUGACUGAAUGGAAUAAGCAGUCUUCUGCAAAGGAGGUCAUGCACAGGACUCAAAAGAGACAUGUAUGUUCAUUAAAGAAACAAUCAAGCACAUACUCCACUACUGCACGCACAGGUUCACAUGUAAGGCUUUGACCCACAGCCACUGGGUGGCGCCGGUCCAUCAGCAGCGCCGAGCUCAAAGGUCCUCUGUUUUUAUGUUUAUUGUCAUCAUAUAUCAUUUAAGUAUUUGUGUUUGAGUCUCAUGAUCAUAUGUUUUCUCCAAACCAGGCAGUUAAAAGAUGUGAGUUGAAGUAUGAUCAUGAACGUAUAUGACUUGAUAGAUUUUGGUAAUAAGUUAAUUUGGAUGGCUGACACCUUCCUUCUUUUGGCACACUUCUGAAUGAUUUUAAUUUGUAACUGAUGGAGGUAGGCCAAUGAAGUCAAGAAUCUAACGUUUGUCACUUAGGAAGACCGCUAACGACUUUGACGAAGUUAUCAGGUAAUAAUUCUUUUCGCCAUGACAUGCGUUGGUGGAAGGAGGAGGAUUCUGCAUCAUCUUCUUUGCUUCAAGUUUUUUCUUUGGUUUGUUUCAGAGUCAAGGAAAACUUCAAAGUUGUGUCCCUCUAUUUAUUUUUAAGUCGUUGUACGAUUUAUUUUUUUAAUGUUAUGCAAAACUAUUCAUAAUAUUAAUAAAUUUAAAUAACUGAUAAAAUAAUUUAAUAGC